RNAcentral lists this ribosomal RNA (446 nucleotides) under uncultured bacterium. RNAcentral's name for it is "partial 16S ribosomal RNA". It matches the Rfam family "Bacterial small subunit ribosomal RNA", at positions 338 to 795 of the family's 1533-position model. The record is from RNAcentral.
CCUACGGGUGGCAGCAGUCGAGAAUCAUUCACAAUGGGGGAAACCCUGAUGGUGCGACGCCGCGUGGGGGAAUGAAGGUCUUCGGAUUGUAAACCCCUGUCAUGUGGGAGCAAAUUAAAAAGAUAGUACCACAAGAGGAAGAGACGGCUAACUCUGUGCCAGCAGCCGCGGUAAUACAGAGGUCUCAAGCGUUGUUCGGAAUCACUGGGCGUAAGGCGUGCGUAGGCUGUUUCGUAAGUCGUGUGUGAAAGGCGCGGGCUCAACCCGCGGACGGCACAUGAUACUGCGAGACUAGAGUAAUGGAGGGGGAACCGGAAUUCUCGGUGUAGCAGUGAAAUGCGUAGAUAUCGAGAGGAACACUCGGGGCGAAGGCGGGUUCCUGGACAUUAACUGACGCUGAGGCACGAAGGCCAGGGGAGCGAAAGGGAUUAGAUACCCGAGUAGUC